Long non-coding RNA from Cimex lectularius (bed bug), 506 nucleotides. RefSeq lists it as uncharacterized. The record is from RefSeq and is a predicted model, not a curated record. The transcript is spliced from 3 exons. NCBI's taxonomy places the organism in Eukaryota, Metazoa, Arthropoda, Insecta, Hemiptera, Cimicidae.
GUUCGGAAUCGCUUCAGUAGAAUGGAUUUUUUUACUUUCGUUAGUGACUUGUACGUAAAUGUAAUAAAGCUAACUGCAGUACUAUACCAAGCUACACCGAUGUGAGGGGUUGAAGAGAUGGCUGGAAGUAAUGGCGAGAGGGUGGAGAAGGCUGUGGAAAGAGAGAGUAGAAAACGGGAGGGCUGAUGGGGUAAUUGGUGAUAGGAAAAAGGGGAGUGAGAAAGUGAGGAAAAUAAAAGGCCGUUUUUAACUGUAAAAGCCAUUUCACGCUCGCACCGUUUCCUGUCAAUCUGUAAUUGGUGAAAAAGAAAUUUUUGUUAUUGUCACAGCGCUGUAAUUUGAGUAAAAAGAGAAACCUUCGCAAAUUUUAAAAAAAUUAGGUCACUAGAGAAUAAUUUUUUAAUUUCAAAAAAUUAUAUUUAUUUACGUCUAAAAAAAUCAAAAGUAUUACUGUUGUCUAUUCUUCAAUUUACAAUAUUCAUCUAUAGGCAAAAAUGCAGGCGGUG